Molecule: ribosomal RNA, 460 nt
Filed under: uncultured bacterium
Lineage: Bacteria
Description: partial 16S ribosomal RNA
Rfam family: Bacterial small subunit ribosomal RNA
Source: RNAcentral
CCUACGGGUGGCAGCAGUGAGGAAUAUUGGUCAAUGGCCGUAAGGCUGAACCAGCCAAGUAGCGUGAGGGAAGACUGCCCUAUGGGUUGUAAACCUCUUUUAUGCGGGGAUAAAGGUGUCCACGUGUGGAUGUUUGCAGGUACCGCAUGAAUAAGGACCGGCUAAUUCCGUGCCAGCAGCCGCGGUAAUACGUAAGGUCCGGGCGUUAUCCGGAUUUAUUGGGUUUAAAGGGAGCGUAGGCGGGUUGUUAAGUCAGCUGUAAAAGCCUGCGGCUCAACCCUGGAGUGCCGUUUGAAACUGGCAGUCUUGAGUACAGUUGAGGUAGGCGGAAUUCGUGGUGUAGCGGUGAAAUGCUUAGAUAUCGCGAAGAACUCCGAUUGCGAAGGCAGCUUACUAAACGGCCACUGACAUUGAUGCUCGAAAGUGUGGGUAUCAAACAGGAUUAGAUACCCUUGUAGUC